AUUGAACGCUGGCGGCAUGCUUUACACAUGCAAGUCGAACGGUAACAGGCCGCAAGGUGCUGACGAGUGGCGAACGGGUGAGUAAUGCAUCGGAACGUGCCCAGUCGUGGGGGAUAACUACUCGAAAGAGUAGCUAAUACCGCAUACGAUCUAUGGAUGAAAGCGGGGGACCGUAAGGUCUCGCGCGAUUGGAGCGGCCGAUGUCAGAUUAGGUAGUUGGUGGGGUAAAGGCUCACCAAGCCAACGAUCUGUAGCUGGUCUGAGAGGACGACCAGCCACACUGGGACUGAGACACGGCCCAGACUCCUACGGGAGGCAGCAGUGGGGAAUUUUGGACAAUGGGCGCAAGCCUGAUCCAGCAAUGCCGCGUGCAGGAAGAAGGCCUUCGGGUUGUAAACUGCUUUUGUACGGAACGAAACGGCUCUGGUUAAUACCCGGGGCUAAUGACGGUACCGUAAGAAUAAGCACCGGCUAACUACGUG
RNAcentral lists this ribosomal RNA (482 nucleotides) under uncultured bacterium. Its description in RNAcentral is "partial 16S ribosomal RNA". It matches the Rfam family "Bacterial small subunit ribosomal RNA", at positions 30 to 507 of the family's 1533-position model. The record is from RNAcentral.